Molecule: ribosomal RNA, 253 nt
Filed under: uncultured bacterium
Lineage: Bacteria
Description: partial 16S ribosomal RNA
Rfam family: Bacterial small subunit ribosomal RNA
Source: RNAcentral
UACAGAGGUCUCAAGCGUUGUUCGGAUUCAUUGGGCGUAAAGGGUGUGUAGGUGGCGCGCUAAGUCGGGUGUGAAAUUUCGGAGCUUAACUCCGAAACUGCAUUUGAUACUGGCGUGCUUGAGGACUGGAGAGGAGACUGGAAUUUACGGUGUAGCGGUGAAAUGCGUAGAUAUCGUAAGGAAGACCAGUGGCGAAGGCGGGUCUCUGGACAGUUCCUGACGCUGAGGCACGAAGGUCAGGGGAGCAAACGGG